This 1256-nucleotide long non-coding RNA is filed under the name Oryza sativa (Asian cultivated rice). RNAcentral describes it as "long non-coding RNA (OSAT_LNC001321)". Lineage: Eukaryota; Viridiplantae; Streptophyta; Magnoliopsida; Poales; Poaceae. The record is from RNAcentral.
UCGAAAAUCACCUCUCUAUGCAAGGAAACCCGAGACCUGACAAAAUUCGACAUGAACUCGCACUCUACCGGUCUGGCUGGUCACAUGCCGCCGAUCAAACCAACCGUACACAUCGGUCAAACCGGCCUAUAUAUGGUGGUCUGACCAACUCCAUGAAAGAAACCCGACGACGCCUUCGAAAUUUUUACAAUAUUUCUCUUUCGCAUCUAGGUGUCAAAUUUAGGUGUAAACAUAUGCCCCUUACCUUUUUUUGUACUUGUGAACCUAAAUGCACAUAACACAUGGUCUUUGGGCGAUAAUCUAAGACAAAUUUUUCUACAAGACACUCAAAGUUUGUGGUUUUUGCUGUGAGACACCCAAUAAAAGUGUAUCUUCUCAUAGAGACUGAAAAAUAUGGUAAUUAGCUGCUGGACACCUGCCUCAUUAUUUUAUUAUAUUCCAUGGUCGCGGAUCUCCGCCUCCCACUUCCCCCACGGCCUGCGCCGGAUUCCCCGGUAUAGCGUCCUCCGCUCCCCUCGCCAUCGACUGCUCCUCCUCGUCCGCCGCUGCACGCAUAGCAAUCAGUAGUUCAGUUCGUAUGCAUGCAAAAUCAGGUAGUUCAGUUCAUAUGUAUGCAAACUAAUGGUAAUCAAGCUGUAUUACUAUUUAAUUACAUUGCUAUUUCUAUUUAAUUACCUUGCUCGGCCGGUGGAGCUACAGCGGUGGUGGUGGUGAAUUGGUGAAGUCGUCGUCGCUGGCGUGCUGCGGCGGCGCCGCGGCGGCCAGAGUUCAUCGGCUACGGAGAGGCUAGCUCCUCUUGCCGCCAGGGCCGUGGCUGUUGAUCAGCGGGAUGGCGCCGCCGCACAUAUCUAUCUUCACUAGCUCGAUCGAUGCUUGCCGCGAAGCAACGGCGAACGGCGAGAGCAGCAAGCAACCUAGUGCGUGGGUGAGUGCGGACCGUGUAGGAAGGAAGGAAAUCUAAACCGAUGGCCAAAAAAAUGCAACAAAAUUAAGAAAAAAAUCAAAUCAAAAUUGUUGUUCUUAUUUUCUUAAUCGAUUUCGCUUUGCGCAUCCUUGUUGGUGGAGGUGCUGGAGCUGGGAGUGGUGGUGCACUCGCUCAUCAUCGCGAUGUCGCGGAGCGCCUCCGACUUCCCGAGCACGGUGCGGCCGCUCGUGCCGGCACACCACGCGUGGUGCUGGACAUCGAGGGCACGCGGUGACGGGGACACGCGACCCACACGCGUACAGCUGGGAAGCUAUCGUGCCGCUCCCCGUGG